AAGCUGCUUUUGUUAUUUCAACAACUCUAAACUCAGCUUCUUCUGCACUUUCUGAUACUGUUAAUCAAUACCUUUUAGCCUCACCCAACCUGCCUUUCAUUACUAGCCAGCAAGGCGAUUCUGGCAUUGCUAUAACUCCAAAACCAAUGAGUAAAGAUGGUAUUGCCGCUAGACUUAACAUCAGCCUCCAGUUAGUGUGCUGUGGCAGACCUGACAGGGUAUAGUUGAUGAUGUAUCCUAGGAGAAUUCAAAAAACAAUGAAGACCUAAGGAAGGGAGGUGAGGAAUCCGCGAGUCAUAGCCGGAGAGACCUCGGCAGUGCAGACUGGAGCGAUCAUGAGGGAAUUACCGAUUCCGAUUCCGGCAACAACGCAACCAGCCAUGAGAAUAUGAAAAGAUGGUGCUAGGCCCAUAAGAAGUGCACCAAUUAAAAAUGUGGUUGCAGCUAGGACUAUAGUGUAAGGCCUGCCUAAAUAAUCCGAGGUUUUCUCUGAGGCCAAGGAGCCUAUGAGCGAACAUGCAUUUAGUAUACCCACCAAAAUCUCUACUUGG
This 551-nucleotide unclassified non-coding RNA is filed under the name Hevea brasiliensis (rubber tree). Lineage: Eukaryota; Viridiplantae; Streptophyta; Magnoliopsida; Malpighiales; Euphorbiaceae. The record is from RNAcentral.